RNAcentral lists this transfer RNA (82 nucleotides) under Flavobacteriales bacterium. Its description in RNAcentral is "tRNA-Leu". It matches the Rfam family "tRNA". From Rfam's summary of the family: Transfer RNA (tRNA) molecules are approximately 80 nucleotides in length. The record is from RNAcentral. Lineage: Bacteria; Pseudomonadati; Bacteroidota; Flavobacteriia; Flavobacteriales.
GCGGAUGUGGCGGAAUUGGUAGACGCGCUAGACUUAGGAUCUAGUGCCGCAAGGUGUGAGAGUUCGAGUCUCUCCACCCGUA